This 1391-nucleotide ribosomal RNA is filed under the name uncultured bacterium. Its description in RNAcentral is "bacterial SSU rRNA". It matches the Rfam family "Bacterial small subunit ribosomal RNA". The record is from RNAcentral.
AGAGUUUGAUCCUGGCUCAGGAUGAACGCUGGCGGCGUGCUUAACACAUGCAAGUCGAACGAAGCAUAUAAAAGGAAUUUCUUCGGAGAGGAAUUUUAUAUGACUGAGUGGCGGACGGGUGAGUAACGCGUGGGCAACCUACCCCACACAGGGGGACAACAGUUGGAAACGACUGCUAAUACCGCAUAGGCGCACAGCUUCGCAUGAAGCAGUGUGGAAAACCGAGGUGGUGUGGGAUGGGCCCGCGUCUGAUUAGCUAGUUGGCGGGGUAACGGCGCACCAAGGCGACGAUCAGUAGCCGGCCUGAGAGGGUGGACGGCCACAUUGGGACUGAGACACGGCCCAAACUCCUACGGGAGGCAGCAGUGGGGAAUAUUGCACAAUGGGGGAAACCCUGAUGCAGCGACGCCGCGUGAGCGAAGAAGUAUUUCGGUAUGUAAAGCUCUAUCAGCAGGGAAGAAAAUGACGGUACCUGACUAAGAAGCCCCGGCUAAAUACGUGCCAGCAGCCGCGGUAAUACGUAUGGGGCAAGCGUUAUCCGGAUUUACUGGGUGUAAAGGGAGCGCAGGCGGCUUGGCAAGUCUGAUGUGAAAGGCUGGGGCUCAACCCCAGGACUGCAUUGGAAACUGUUAGGCUAGAGUGUCGGAGAGGUAAGCGGAAUUCCUAGUGUAGCGGUGAAAUGCGUAGAUAUUAGGAGGAACACCAGUGGCGAAGGCGACUUUCUGGACGAUAACUGACGUUGAGGCACGAAAGUGUGGGGAGCAAACAGGAUUAGAUACCCUGGUAGUCCACACUGUAAACGAUGGAUACUAGGUGUAGGGUGUAUUAAGCACUCUGUGCCGCCGCAAACGCAUUAAGUAUCCCACCUGGGGAGUACGACCGCAAGGUUGAAACUCAAAGGAAUUGACGGGGGCCCGCACAAGCAGUGGAGUAUGUGGUUUAAUUCGAAGCAACGCGAAGAACCUUACCAGGGCUUGACAUAUACCGGAAUAUACUAGAGAUAGUAUAGUCCUUCGGGACUGGUAUACAGGUGGUGCAUGGUUGUCGUCAGCUCGUGUCGUGAGAUGUUGGGUUAAGUCCCGCAACGAGCGCAACCCCUAUCGUUAGUUGCUAGCAGGUAAAGCUGAGAACUCUAGCGAGACUGCCGGUGAUAAAUCGGAGGAAGGUGGGGAUGACGUCAAAUCAUCAUGCCCUUUAUGUCCUGGGCUACACACGUACUACAAUGGCCGCAACAGAGGGAAGCGAAAUAGUGAUAUGGAGCAAAACCCGAAAAACGGUCUCAGUUCGGAUUGAAGGCUGAAAUUCGCCUUCAUGAAGCUGGAAUUGCUAGUAAUGGCAGGUCAGCAUACUGCCGUGAAUACGUUCCCGGGCCUUGCACUCACCGCCCGUCA